UAGGAUUUGGUUAGGAUUUGGUUAGGAUUUAGGAUUUGGUUUAGGAUUUAGGAUUUAGUUCAGGGUUUAAGGUUUUAUUAGGAUUUGAUUUAGGAUUUAGGAUUUAGUUCAGGAUUUAAGGUUUUAUUAGGAUUUGAUUUAGGAUUUAGGAUUUUGUUAGGAUUUGAUUCAAAGUUAGGGUUUAGUUAAGGUUUGAUUUAGGGUUAGGAUUUGAUUAGGAUUUGAUUUAGGAUUUAAGGUUUGAUUAGGAUUUGGUUUAGAGUUUAGGAUUUGAUUAAGAUUUGAUUUAGGAUUUGAUUAGGAUUUGGCUUAGGAUUUGAUUAGGAUUUGGCUUAGGAUUUAGGAUUUUAUUAGGCUUUGUUUAGGGUUUAAGAUUUAGUUAGUUUUUGGCCUAAAGUUUGAAUGAAGUCCAAUAGGAUUUUAACUAGGAUUAAAUUAAGAUUGAAUUGAGAUAUAUUUGAGAUAUAUUUGUGAUCAUUGUAAUAUUUCUUUAAGAUUUUUUAUUAUUUCUUUGUAAUUUCUUUGAGGUUUCUUUGAAUUUGAUUAAAACUUACUUAGCAUUGUUAUGGUUUAAUUAGAGUUUAGUUAAUAUUCUAUUAAAAUUAGGAUUUUAUUAUUGUAAUUUCUAUUCUACCUUCUAUAGCCAAGUGCUCAGAGCAUUCUCAAGUAAGACUUCAUAUAUUACG
This 686-nucleotide long non-coding RNA is filed under the name Physcomitrium patens. RNAcentral describes it as "long non-coding RNA (PPAT_LNC013250)". Lineage: Eukaryota; Viridiplantae; Streptophyta; Bryopsida; Funariales; Funariaceae. The record is from RNAcentral.